CAGAAACAUGAGAGUCGACCCCUAGCAUCAGCUGAAGCAUGCGCAGAGUACCUCCACUACUUCAUGAAAACGGAAGUAAAGAUGUAUAAAAAGGGACUGUUUGAACUGCUCAGCACGGCAGUUGGCGGAGCGCAGACUCCCCUGUCAUCCAGCGCUGUUUUUGCUCAUAUCCUACUUGCUAUAAUUAAUAAAAUUUUAAUUAGAUUA
Long non-coding RNA from Neopsephotus bourkii (Bourke's parrot), 207 nucleotides. RefSeq lists it as uncharacterized. The transcript has 2 exons. The record is from RefSeq and is a predicted model, not a curated record. Lineage: Eukaryota; Metazoa; Chordata; Aves; Psittaciformes; Psittacidae.